Molecule: microRNA precursor, 208 nt
Organism: Oryza rufipogon (brownbeard rice)
Lineage: Eukaryota; Viridiplantae; Streptophyta; Magnoliopsida; Poales; Poaceae
Rfam family: MIR812 microRNA precursor family
Source: Rfam
AAUAAGUGUAGUUUUACACUAUUCACGUUUAACGUUUGACUGUUCUUCUUAUUUGAAAUUUUCUUAUGAUUAGCAUUUCUAUUGCUAUUAGAUGAUAAAAUAUGAAUAGUACUUUAUGUGUGACUAAAUAUUUUUAAUUUUUUCAUAAAAUUUUUAAAUAAGACGGACGGUCAAACAUUGGACACAGAUAUCCACAGCUGCACUUAUU